RNAcentral lists this ribosomal RNA (430 nucleotides) under Streptomyces sp. ABS-39. RNAcentral's name for it is "bacterial SSU rRNA". It matches the Rfam family "Bacterial small subunit ribosomal RNA", at positions 900 to 1325 of the family's 1533-position model. The record is from RNAcentral. Lineage: Bacteria; Bacillati; Actinomycetota; Actinomycetes; Kitasatosporales; Streptomycetaceae.
CUCAAAGGAAUUGACGGGGGCCCGCACAAGCANCGGAGCAUGUGGCUUAAUUNGACGCAACGCGAAGAACCUUACCAAGGCUUGACAUACACCGGAAACGGCCAGAGAUGGUCGCCCCCUUGUGGUCGGUGUACAGGUGGUGCAUGGCUGUCGUCAGCUCGUGUCGUGAGAUGUUGGGUUAAGUCCCGCACGAGCGCAACCCUUGUUCUGUGUUGCCAGCAUGCCCUUCGGGGUGAUGGGGACUCACAGGAGACUGCCGGGGUCAACUCGGAGGAAGGUGGGGACGACGUCAAGUCAUCAUGCCCCUUAUGUCUUGGGCUGCACACGUGCUACAAUGGCCGGUACAAAGAGCUGCGAAGCCGUGAGGUGGAGCGAAUCUCAAAAAGCCGGUCUCAGUUCGGAUUGGGGUCUGCAACUCGACCCCAUGAAG